CCUACGAGGCGGCCAGCGGCAUGCCGAAGAGGACCACGUGGACCAAACUUUGGGGAAGGAAAAAAUGGGGACGUGGGGCUACAGAUCUGCUAAAGUCGAUAGGCCGUAGAGGUUCACCGUGGACUGGGGACCCAUCCGAUGGGAUGCUUUAUUAACUCUGGCCUUUCCCAGGAGCCUGGAGUUUACCCCUCUACCCGGGCCCACUCAGUCCCCUGUGGGACUUGUGAGUCACAGUGGGAAGCCCAAGGGAGUCAGAAGACCCCAUCUUGUCCUAAUUGAGGCAAUUCAGGAGAGAAAACAGACCUCUUGAAAGAAGGUCAUUCCGGACUCCUGAUGCCGCCAGUCCCUCAGUGAGACGUGAGCGCCAUUGGCGUCCGUGGCCUCUGUUUCCGUGGCAACCCAGUAACCAUUAAUUUUCAAUUAAAGGAGACAAAAAGCUGGAUGACAGCUCCGGGUCUGCUGAAGAUGUCAAGAAUCUGUAUUAAUAUACAGCAAGAGAGCAUAAUUGUGUGUCCAUCUUCCAGAGCGGUGAAAAAUGGAGGGAUAAUUACCGGCUCGAAAGCCACUCUGUAAUUUAGUCCUUACUGUCACCACAGCCCUACACAUUAGCAUAAAUUAAAAGCAGGGUUUAUUGUUAUCAAAGUGCA
Long non-coding RNA from Arvicanthis niloticus (Nile rat), 647 nucleotides. RefSeq lists it as uncharacterized. NCBI's taxonomy places the organism in Eukaryota, Metazoa, Chordata, Mammalia, Rodentia, Muridae. The record is from RefSeq and is a predicted model, not a curated record.